AUGACAUUCCACGACGAGGCGCCGCUGCUGCUCAGGAUCAACACCGCCAGAGGCGGCCACAUGGGCGGAGGCGAGUGCGACGAGGCCGAGAACCAGCGGUGGCCGCCGUGGCUCAAGCCGCUGCUGGCGACCAGCUUCUUCGGGCAAUGCAAGAUGCACGCGGACGCCCACAAGUGCGAGUGCAACAUGUACUGCCUCGACUGCGUCAACGGCGCGCUCUGCUCCCAGUGCCUCGCCUACCACCAUGGCCACCACGCCAUCCAGAUAAGGAGGUCCUCGUACCACGACGUGAUCCGCGUGUCGGAGAUCCAGAAGGUGCUGGACAUCACCGGCGUGCAGACCUACAUCAUCAACAGCGCGCGCGUCGUCUUCCUCAACGAGCGCCCGCAGCCCAGGCCCGGCAAGGGCGUCACCAACACCUGCGACGUCUGCGAGCGCAGCCUCCUCGACACCUUCCGCUUCUGCUCCCUCGGAUGCAAGAUCGUGGGCACCUCCGGCGAGUUCCGUGGCCGGAAGAGGCACGCCGGCGGCAAGAAGAUGAAGCUGAAGCUGAAGAAGGCGGCGGCGUCGGACUCAGACGACUCGUCCACCAUCACCAGCGGCGGGAGCGACAAGAGCAGCGUGGUACAGAGCUUCUCCCCGUCCACCCCGCCGGCCACCGCCAACAGCUACCGCUCCGCCAAGCGGCGCAAGGGCAUCCCGCACCGGUCGCCCUUCGGCAGCCUCAUCGUGGAGUUCUAG
Molecule: ribosomal RNA, 741 nt
Filed under: Triticum aestivum (bread wheat)
Lineage: Eukaryota; Viridiplantae; Streptophyta; Magnoliopsida; Poales; Poaceae
Description: partial small subunit ribosomal RNA
Source: RNAcentral